This is a non-coding RNA of Phrynosoma platyrhinos (Desert horned lizard), 72 nucleotides long. Lineage: Eukaryota; Metazoa; Chordata; Lepidosauria; Squamata; Phrynosomatidae. The record is from the annotation of a GenBank genome assembly.
GCCAGUGUGGUGUAGUGGCUGUGGCAUUGGAUUACGACUCUGAAGACCAGGGCUCAAAUCCCUGCUCAGCCA